RNAcentral lists this ribosomal RNA (113 nucleotides) under Mesorhizobium sp. M2E.F.Ca.ET.154.01.1.1. RNAcentral describes it as "partial 16S ribosomal RNA". It matches the Rfam family "Bacterial small subunit ribosomal RNA", at positions 1427 to 1533 of the family's 1533-position model. RNAcentral also lists the same sequence under 3 other names. The record is from RNAcentral. Lineage: Bacteria; Pseudomonadati; Pseudomonadota; Alphaproteobacteria; Hyphomicrobiales; Phyllobacteriaceae.
GCGCUGUGCUAACCGCAAGGAGGCAGGCGACCACGGUAGGGUCAGCGACUGGGGUGAAGUCGUAACAAGGUAGCCGUAGGGGAACCUGCGGCUGGAUCACCUCCUUUCUAAGG